GAUGAACGCUGGCGGCGUGCCUAAUACAUGCCAGUCGAGCGAACGGACGAGAAGCUUGCUUUUCUGAUGUUAGCGGCGGACGGGUGAGUAACACGUGGAUAACCUACCUAUAAGACUGGGAUAACUUCGGGAAACCGGAGCUAAUACCGGAUAAUAUUUUGAACCGCAUGGUUCAAAAGUGAAAGACGGUCUUGCUGUCACUUAUAGAUGGAUCCGCGCUGCAUUAGCUAGUUGGUAAGGUAACGACUUACCAAGGCAACGAUGCAUAGCCGACCUGAGAGGGUGAUCGGCCACACUGGAACUGAGACACGGUCCAGACUCCUACGGGAGGCAGCAGUAGGGAAUCUUCCGCAAUGGGCGAAAGCCUGACGGAGCAACGCCGCGUGAGUGAUGAAGGUCUUCGGAUCGUAAAACUCUGUUAUUAGGGAAGAACAUAUGUGUAAGUAACUGUGCGCAUCUUGACGGUACCUAAUCAGAAAGCCACGGCUAACUACGUG
RNAcentral lists this ribosomal RNA (497 nucleotides) under uncultured bacterium. Its description in RNAcentral is "partial 16S ribosomal RNA". It matches the Rfam family "Bacterial small subunit ribosomal RNA", at positions 28 to 507 of the family's 1533-position model. The record is from RNAcentral.